AGACCCGAAACCCGGUGAUCUAGCCAUGGGCAGGUUGAAGGUUGGGUAACACUAACUGGAGGACCGAACCGACUAAUGUUGAAAAAUUAGCGGAUGACCUGUGGCUGGGGGUGAAAGGCCAAUCAAACCGGGAGAUAGCUGGUUCUCCCCGAAAGCUAUUUAGGUAGCGCCUCGUGAAUUCAUCUCCGGGGGUAGAGCACUGUUUCGGCUAGGGGGCCAUCCCGGCUUACCAACCCGAUGCAAACUGCGAAUACCGGAGAAUGUUAUCACGGGAGACACACGGCGGGUGCUAACGUCCGUCGUGAAGAGGGAAACAACCCAGACCGCCAGCUAAGGUCCCAAAGUCAUGGUUAAGUGGGAAACGAUGUGGGAAGGCCCAGACAGCCAGGAUGUUGGCUUAGAAGCAGCCAUCAUUUAAAGAAAGCGUAAUAGCUCACUGGUCGAGUCGGCCUGCGCGGAAGAUGUAACGGGGCUAAACCAUGCACCGAAGCUGCGGCAGCGAACGUAUCACCCAAGACAACUUUACGGAGUUGACGAUUGACGGAGCGAAGCGACG
RNAcentral lists this ribosomal RNA (556 nucleotides) under Salmonella enterica. RNAcentral's name for it is "partial 23S ribosomal RNA". It matches the Rfam family "Bacterial large subunit ribosomal RNA", at positions 711 to 1223 of the family's 2925-position model. The record is from RNAcentral. Lineage: Bacteria; Pseudomonadati; Pseudomonadota; Gammaproteobacteria; Enterobacterales; Enterobacteriaceae. RNAcentral also lists the same sequence under 1 other name.